UACGGGGGGGGCAAGCGUUGUUCGGAAUUACUGGGCGUAAAGGGCUCGUAGGCGGCCAACUAAGUCGGAUGUGAAAUCCCCAGGCUCAACCUGGGAACUGCAUCCGAUACUGGAUGGCUUGAAUCCGGGAGAGGGAUGCAGAAUUCCAGGUGUAGCGGUGAAAUGCGUAGAUAUCUGGAGGAAUACCGGUGGCGAAGGCGGCUUCCUGGACCGACACUGACGCUGAGGCGCGAAAGCUAGGGGAGCAAACGGG
Molecule: ribosomal RNA, 253 nt
Filed under: uncultured bacterium
Lineage: Bacteria
Description: partial 16S ribosomal RNA
Rfam family: Bacterial small subunit ribosomal RNA
Source: RNAcentral